This 349-nucleotide unclassified non-coding RNA is filed under the name uncultured fungus. Its description in RNAcentral is "sequence contains ITS1". The stretch from base 1 to 105 matches the Rfam family "5.8S ribosomal RNA", at positions 50 to 154 of the family's 154-position model. Lineage: Eukaryota; Fungi. The record is from RNAcentral.
AAAGUGCGAUAAGCAAUGCGAAUUGCAGAAUUCCGCGAAUCAUCAGAUCCUUGAACGCAACUGGCGCUAGGAGGCUCUCCUCCUAGCAUGCCUGUUUCAGUGUCUGAAAACCUCAUAUUUUAUCAUAAUGUGGUUGAUGAUGAGCUUUUUUUGUUUAUAACAAAAAAAAAUAGCUCCUAAUCUUCCAUUAAAGAUGUACGUGUGGGUUUUUGAACCCCUCAUCGAAUUUGGUCGCUGAUUCUUUCAGUGAUUUCGAGAGGGUUGUCUCAAUUACUCGAAUACACUGUAGACACCCACCAAACUUUCAUCUCUGCAUCUGAAAUCAGGCAAGAACACCCGCUGAACUUAA